UACGUAGGGUGCAAGCGUUGUCCGGAAUUAUUGGGCGUAAAGGGCUCGUAGGCGGUCCAUCGCGUCGGGAGUGAAAAGCUGGGGCUUAACCCCAGUCCUGCUUCCGAUACGGGUGGACUAGAGGUAGGUAGGGGAGAACGGAAUUCCUGGUGUAGCGGUGAAAUGCGCAGAUAUCAGGAAGAACACCCGUGGCGAAGGCGGUUCUCUGGGACGGUACUGACGCUGAGACGCGAAAGCGUGGGGAGCGAACAGG
Molecule: ribosomal RNA, 253 nt
Filed under: uncultured bacterium
Lineage: Bacteria
Description: partial 16S ribosomal RNA
Rfam family: Bacterial small subunit ribosomal RNA
Source: RNAcentral